RNAcentral lists this ribosomal RNA (105 nucleotides) under Escherichia coli. The record is from RNAcentral. Lineage: Bacteria; Pseudomonadati; Pseudomonadota; Gammaproteobacteria; Enterobacterales; Enterobacteriaceae. RNAcentral also lists the same sequence under 1 other name.
GCCGUAGCGCGGUGGUCCCACCUGACCCCAUGCCGAACUCAGAAGUGAAACGCCGUAGCGCCGAUGGUAGUGUGGGGUCUCCCCAUGCGAGAGUAGGGAACUGCC